AUGGACAGACUUAUUGACGUAGGGAAUACAUAUAUGGACCUUGAUUUAUCCAGAGAAAGAGACGUUAGACAAAUACGUAGUCAAUUUGUUCAGAAUUGUUGUUCAGUGGCAAAAGACUACUUUAGAACUAGCCGUCCUAAUUGGGACUCUAUGGACCUCAAUGAACUAAGGAGAGUAGCAACCUAUGUUUAUAAAGGUCGUGUAAAAAGACCUGAGGAAGACGAUACAUCAGUGGAAGAUUUAAAGAAAGAAAUUGAAAUGUUAAAGAGACAAUUGAAAAAUAAGGGAGAGACUAUAGCCCCUUUGCGGGAAUUCACAACCAGAACAACUAUAAUGAUGAUAAUGGUCAUAGAAACUAGAAUUUUAGAAAUUCUAGAAAUUAUAAUGAUGAUUAUGGAAAUAACUAUAAUGAACAUAGAAAUAAGAACUUUAGAAACCAGAAUUAUAGAAAUAGGAACUGAGAAAAUAAUGACAAUGCUCCAAAUGAAGAAAAUUAUAAUACCCAACAACAAAAUAUAAGAAAUGGAAUUUGUCCAAAAAAUAGUCGAGGUGCCCUUCAGGGGGGUGCCCAAGGAAUAUCCCAAACACAAUGAUGGCGUCUGGGGGGGUGGGGCACAGGAAUCAGAGGAUACAACCUUUGAUUUUCCGGACCCUGAUGUCCUACUACCCGUUGUCCCUAUCCACUGCCCUCCCCAUACUAAUGAACUCCAUGUUACCUUAAAGGUGGGUAACACUUAUUAUGAUUGUCUAUUAGACACUGGAGCUACCAGGUCUAUAUUGAAGAAUGUACCAGAUUUAAAUUGUUAUUCCGUUGAUUCACUAAGUGUAAUGGGGGUAUCAAGAAUACCCCAAAGAGUUGAAAAACUUGCCCCUAGAAUGGUAUCUGUAGGACCCCUAGAGGUACAACAUUCCUUUAUUUUGAUGCCUGACUCCCCUUUAAAUUUGCUGGAGAGAGACCUUCUAUGCAAACUCAGAGCCACAAUAACUUGUUCACCAGAUGGUUCUUUAUCAUUGGAAGUACCAGAGUAAUCUUUAAAUUUACUCCCUGUACUUCUCUCGGAAAACCAGGAGGCAAAAGAGUCUUCCACUUUUGAAAUACCUAAGGAUAUACCAUAGUCUCUUUGGGCCACAUCUUCUUCCAAUGUAGGCUUACUUAAAUCUGCUGUUCCUGUGCAGAUAAAAACUAAAUCUAGCCCACCUCCUUCCAUCCCUCAGUAUCCCCUCUCAAAGGUGGCAAUUGAGGGUAUUACACCAGUUAUUAACUCAUUAAUAGAACAGGGAAUAAUAAUCCCUUGCAAAUCUGAAUACAACAUGCCCAUCCUGCCAGUUAAGAAAAACAAAAAGAGGGCCCAAUGGCAAGCACCUCUAUAGAUUCGUACAGGAUCUGAGGGCAGUGAAUAAUCAUGUUAUAAAGAGACACUCCAUAGUUUCUAACAUAAAUACUAUUAUUUCCUCUAUUCCUAGCACAGCUACAUACUUUACAGUAGUAGACUUGUGUUCAGCUUUCUUUUCCAUACCU
Molecule: long non-coding RNA, 1519 nt
Filed under: Monodelphis domestica (gray short-tailed opossum)
Lineage: Eukaryota; Metazoa; Chordata; Mammalia; Didelphimorphia; Didelphidae
Description: lncRNA (ENSMODG00000048556.1)
Source: RNAcentral